AAUCAACGCUGGCGGCGUGCCUCAGACAUGCAAGUCGAACGCGAAAGGUUCCUUCGGGAGCCGAGUAGAGUGGCGCUCGGGUGAGUAACACGUAGGUAAUUUGCCUUUGGGUGGGAAUAACAAUCGGAAACGGUUGCUAAUACCGCAUAAUGCAGCGGCUCGACAUCGAGACAGUUGUUAAAGCGGGGGAGUCCUUCGGGACCGUCGCGCCUAAAGAGAAGCCUGCGGCGGAUUAGCAGUUGGUGAGGUAAUGCUCACCAAGGCGCGAUCCGUAACCGGCCUGAGAGGGCGGACGGUCACACUGACACUUAAAUACGGGUCAGACUCCGUACGGGAGGCAGCAGUCGGGGUAAUUUUGGGCGAAUAGGGCGAAAGCCUGACCCAGCAACGCCGCGUGAAGGAUGAAAUCCCUCGGGAUGU
Molecule: ribosomal RNA, 420 nt
Filed under: uncultured bacterium
Lineage: Bacteria
Description: partial 16S ribosomal RNA
Rfam family: Bacterial small subunit ribosomal RNA
Source: RNAcentral